This 588-nucleotide ribosomal RNA is filed under the name bacterium. Its description in RNAcentral is "bacterial SSU rRNA". It matches the Rfam family "Bacterial small subunit ribosomal RNA", at positions 852 to 1440 of the family's 1533-position model. The record is from RNAcentral.
CUAACGCGUUAAGUCGACCGCCUGGGGAGUACGGCCGCAAGGUUAAAACUCAAAUGAAUUGACGGGGGCCCGCACAAGCGGUGGAGCAUGUGGUUUAAUUCGAUGCAACGCGAAGAACCUUACCUACUCUUGACAUCCACGGAAUUCGGCAGAGAUGCCUUAGUGCCUUCGGGAACCGUGAGACAGGUGCUGCAUGGCUGUCGUCAGCUCGUGUUGUGAAAUGUUGGGUUAAGUCCCGCAACGAGCGCAACCCUUAUCCUUUGUUGCCAGCGAUUCGGUCGGGAACUCAAAGGAGACUGCCGGUGAUAAACCGGAGGAAGGUGGGGAUGACGUCAAGUCAUCAUGGCCCUUACGAGUAGGGCUACACACGUGCUACAAUGGCGCAUACAAAGAGAAGCGACCUCGCGAGAGCAAGCGGACCUCACAAAGUGCGUCGUAGUCCGGAUCGGAGUCUGCAACUCGACUCCGUGAAGUCGGAAUCGCUAGUAAUCGUGGAUCAGAAUGCCACGGUGAAUACGUUCCCGGGCCUUGUACACACCGCCCGUCACACCAUGGGAGUGGGUUGCAAAAGAAGUAGGUAGCUUAACC